GAGGGUAUAGCUCAGUGGUAGAGUGCGUGCUUAGCAUGCACUAGGUCCUGGGUUCAAUCCCCAGUACCUCCU
RNAcentral lists this transfer RNA (72 nucleotides) under Camelus bactrianus (Bactrian camel). It matches the Rfam family "tRNA". From Rfam's summary of the family: Transfer RNA (tRNA) molecules are approximately 80 nucleotides in length. Their secondary structure includes four short double-helical elements and three loops (D, anti-codon, and T loops). RNAcentral also lists the same sequence under 2 other names. The record is from Rfam by way of RNAcentral. Lineage: Eukaryota; Metazoa; Chordata; Mammalia; Artiodactyla; Camelidae.